Molecule: ribosomal RNA, 446 nt
Filed under: uncultured bacterium
Lineage: Bacteria
Description: partial 16S ribosomal RNA
Rfam family: Bacterial small subunit ribosomal RNA
Source: RNAcentral
CCUACGGGAGGCAGCAGUCGAGAAUCAUUCACAAUGGGGGAAACCCUGAUGGUGCGACGCCGCGUGGGGGAAUGAAGGUCUUCGGAUUGUAAACCCCUGUCAUGUGGGAGCAAAUUAAAAAGAUAGUACCACAAGAGGAAUAGACGGCUAACUCUGUGCCAGCAGCCGCGGUAAUACAGAGGUCUCAAGCGUUGUUCGGAAUCACUGGGCGUAAAGCGUGCGUAGGCUGUUUCGUGAGUCGUGUGUGAAAGGCGCGGGCUCAACCCGCGGACGGCACAUGAUACUGCGAGACUAGAGUAAGGGAGGGGGAACCGGAAUUCUCGGUGUAGCAGUGAAAUGCGUAGAUAUCGAGAGGAACACUCGUGGCGAAGGCGGGUUCCUGGACAUUAACUGACGCUGAGGCACGAAGGCCAGGGGAGCGAAAGGGAUUAGAUACCCGUGUAGUC